RNAcentral lists this ribosomal RNA (302 nucleotides) under Clostridium botulinum C/D. RNAcentral's name for it is "partial 23S ribosomal RNA". It matches the Rfam family "Bacterial large subunit ribosomal RNA", at positions 2627 to 2925 of the family's 2925-position model. Lineage: Bacteria; Bacillati; Bacillota; Clostridia; Eubacteriales; Clostridiaceae. The record is from RNAcentral.
CAGUUCGGUCCCUAUCCGCCGUGGGCGUAGGAAAUUUGAGAGGAGCUGUCCUUAGUACGAGAGGACCGGGAUGGACCAACCUCUGGUGCACCAGUUGUUCCGCCAGGAGCACAGCUGGGUAGCUAUGUUGGGAAGGGAUAAACGCUGAAAGCAUCUAAGCGUGAAGCCCACCUCAAGAUUAGAUUUCCCAUAGCGUAAGCUAGUAAGACCCCUGAAAGACUAUCAGGUUGAUAGGUUGGAGGUGUAAGUACAGUAAUGUAUUCAGCUGACCAAUACUAAUAGGUCGAGGGCUUGAUCAAAUU